AACACGUGGACAACCUACCUUCGGGCGGGGCACAACUUGUCGAAAGACGGGCUAAUACCUCAUAAGACCACGGGAUCCUCGGAUCCUGAGGCAAAAGGUGACCUCUACCUGUAAGUUAUCACCUGGAGAUGGGUCCGCGCACCAUUAGCUUGUUGGUGAGGUAACGGCUCACCAAGGCCGAGAUGGUUAGUUGGUCUGAGAGGACGACCAGCAACACUGGAACUGAGACACGGUCCAG
This 238-nucleotide ribosomal RNA is filed under the name uncultured bacterium. RNAcentral describes it as "partial 16S ribosomal RNA". It matches the Rfam family "Bacterial small subunit ribosomal RNA", at positions 112 to 334 of the family's 1533-position model. The record is from RNAcentral.